Molecule: ribosomal RNA, 497 nt
Filed under: uncultured bacterium
Lineage: Bacteria
Description: partial 16S ribosomal RNA
Rfam family: Bacterial small subunit ribosomal RNA
Source: RNAcentral
GAUGAACGCUGGCGGCGUGCCUAAUACAUGCAAGUCGAGCGAACGGACGAGGAGCUUGCUUUUCUGAUGUUAGCGGCGGACGGGUGAGUAACACGUGGAUAACCUACCUAUAAGACUGGGAUAACUUCGGGAAACCGGAGCUAAUACCGGAUAAUAUUUUGAACCGCAUGGUUCAAAAGUGAAAGACGGUCUUGCUGUCACUUAUAGCUGGAUCCGCGCUGCAUUAGCUAGUUGGUAAGGUAACGGCUUACCAAGGCAACGAUGCAUAGCCGACCGGAGAGGGUGAUCGGCCACACUGGAACUGAGACACGGUCCAGACUCCUACGGGAGGCAGCAGUAGGGAAUCUUCCGCAAUGGGCGAAAGCCUGACGGAGCAACGCCGCGUGAGUGAUGAAGGUCUUCGGAUCGUAAAACUCUGUUAUUAGGGAAGAACAUAUGUGUAAGUAACUGUGCACAUCUUGACGGUACCUAAUCAGAAAGCCACGGCUAACUACGUG